AUGAGGAAGGCCACGGGUGGGGAUCUUGUGAGACCAGCAGCCACUCGUUUUGCCACAGCCAUCCUCACACUUAGGAGUUUGGUCAAGAACAAGCCUGCAUUGAGGAGUUUAUUUACAUCUGAAAAAUGGGUUGGAAACAAGUUAGCAAAAACACAAGUUGGCUUGAAUGUGCAAGAGAUUAUACUUUCAACAGAGUGGUGGAGCGCAAUUGAGGACUGCCUUAGAGCUUAAACUCCACUUCUUAGAGUUCUUAGAGUAGCGGAUGGUGAUGAGAAGCCUGCCAUGCCAGAGAUUAAAGCACUUAUGAUUUAUGCAAAGGAGAGUAUCAAUCUAGGUUUCCCUCAACAAAACAAGCAACCAUUGCCCAAGAAGAUCUUGGCCAUUGUUGAUAAGCGUUGGGAGAAUCAAAUGGAUCAUCCAUUGCAUGGGGCUGUUCUAUUUUUGAACCCAGGAAAGUUAUUUCCUAUUGUAAGCAAAAAUGAUGAUGCCUUAGUUGGGCAGCUUAGGAGCUGCUUUAAUGAUGUGCUUGCAAAAAUGGUACUGGAUGCCAAUGUUCGAAAAAAUAUUGAUCAACAAUAUGUGCUCUAUGAGUGCCAGUGAGAAGGCUUUUCUAAUCCAUUCGCACUCAAGACCAUGAGCACAAGGAACCCUCGUAAGUCAUAUUAA
Molecule: ribosomal RNA, 666 nt
Filed under: Triticum aestivum (bread wheat)
Lineage: Eukaryota; Viridiplantae; Streptophyta; Magnoliopsida; Poales; Poaceae
Description: partial small subunit ribosomal RNA
Source: RNAcentral